Molecule: ribosomal RNA, 1306 nt
Filed under: Staphylococcus aureus
Lineage: Bacteria; Bacillati; Bacillota; Bacilli; Caryophanales; Staphylococcaceae
Description: partial 23S ribosomal RNA
Rfam family: Bacterial large subunit ribosomal RNA
Source: RNAcentral
UAAGUAAGCUUUGAUCCAGAGAUUUCCGAAUGGGGAAACCCAGCAUGAGUUAUGUCAUGUUAUCGAUAUGUGAAUACAUAGCAUAUCAGAAGGCACACCCGGAGAACUGAAACAUCUUAGUACCCGGAGGAAGAGAAAGAAAAUUCGAUUCCCUUAGUAGCGGCGAGCGAAACGGGAAGAGCCCAAACCAACAAGCUUGCUUGUUGGGGUUGUAGGACACUCUAUACGGAGUUACAAAGGACGACAUUAGACGAAUCAUCUGGAAAGAUGAAUCAAAGAAGGUAAUAAUCCUGUAGUCGAAAAUGUUGUCUCUCUUGAGUGGAUCCUGAGUACGACGGAGCACGUGAAAUUCCGUCGGAAUCUGGGAGGACCAUCUCCUAAGGCUAAAUACUCUCUAGUGACCGAUAGUGAACCAGUACCGUGAGGGAAAGGUGAAAAGCACCCCGGAAGGGGAGUGAAAUAGAACCUGAAACCGUGUGCUUACAAGUAGUCAGAGCCCGUUAAUGGGUGAUGGCGUGCCUUUUGUAGAAUGAACCGGCGAGUUACGAUUUGAUGCAAGGUUAAGCAGUAAAUGUGGAGCCGUAGCGAAAGCGAGUCUGAAUAGGGCGUUUAGUAUUUGGUCGUAGACCCGAAACCAGGUGAUCUACCCUUGGUCAGGUUGAAGUUCAGGUAACACUGAAUGGAGGACCGAACCGACUUACGUUGAAAAGUGAGCGGAUGAACUGAGGGUAGCGGAGAAAUUCCAAUCGAACCUGGAGAUAGCUGGUUCUCUCCGAAAUAGCUUUAGGGCUAGCCUCAAGUGAUGAUUAUUGGAGGUAGAGCACUGUUUGGACGAGGGGCCCCUCUCGGGUUACCGAAUUCAGACAAACUCCGAAUGCCAAUUAAUUUAACUUGGGAGUCAGAACAUGGGUGAUAAGGUCCAUGUUCGAAAGGGAAACAGCCCAGACCACCAGCUAAGGUCCCAAAAUAUAUGUUAAGUGGAAAAGGAUGUGGCGUUGCCCAGACAACUAGGAUGUUGGCUUAGAAGCAGCCAUCAUUUAAAGAGUGCGUAAUAGCUCACUAGUCGAGUGACACUGCGCCGAAAAUGUACCGGGGCUAAACAUAUUACCGAAGCUGUGGAUUGUCCUUUGGACAAUGGUAGGAGAGCGUUCUAAGGGCGUUGAAGCAUGAUCGUAAGGACAUGUGGAGCGCUUAGAAGUGAGAAUGCCGGUGUGAGUAGCGAAAGAUGGGUGAGAAUCCCGUCCACCGAUUGACUAAGGUUUCCAGAGGAAGGCUCGUCCGCUCUGGGUUAGUCGGGUCCUAAGCU